RNAcentral lists this ribosomal RNA (247 nucleotides) under uncultured Chytridiales. Its description in RNAcentral is "partial large subunit ribosomal RNA". It matches the Rfam family "Eukaryotic large subunit ribosomal RNA", at positions 40 to 284 of the family's 3401-position model. The record is from RNAcentral. Lineage: Eukaryota; Fungi; Chytridiomycota; Chytridiomycetes; Chytridiales.
AUAUCAAUAAGCGGAGGAAAAGAAACUAACAAGGAUUCCCCUAGUAACGGCGAGUGAAGCGGGAACAGCUCAAUUUUGAAAUCUCGCGGGUUUCCCGUGCGAAUUGUAGUUUCAAGAAACGUUUUCGGGGGCGACUUGGGUUCAAGUCCGUUGGAACGCGGCGCCAGAGAGGGUGAGAGCCCCGUUGGACCCGACGCUCGCUCCUGUACGAUACGUUUUCAAAGAGUCGGAUAGUUUGGGAAAUGCU